CAACAUUGUCAUCCCACGUAUUGGAGCAAAUACGACAUUGUCAUCCCAUGUUUUGGAGUAAAUACAACAUUGUCAUCCCACAUAGUGGAGUAAAUACAACAUCGCCAUCCCACAUAGUGGAGUAAAUACAACAUCGCCAUCCCACAUAUUGGAGUAAAUAUGGCAGCGUCGUCCCACAAAUUGGAGUAAAUACAACAUUGUCAUCCCACGCAUUGGAGUAAAUACAACAUCGUCAUCCCACGUAUUGGGGUAAAUACAACAUUGUCAUCCCACGUAUUGGAGUAAAUACAACAUCGUCAUCCCACAUAUUGGAGUAAAUACAACAUCGCCAUCCCACCUGUUGGAAUAAAUACAACAUCGCCAUCCCACGUAUUGGAUGGGACAUUGUCAUCCCACGUAUUGGAGUAAAUAGGACAACGUAAUCCCAUGUAUUGGAGUAAAAACAGCAUUGUCAUCCCAUGUAUUGGAGUAAAUACGACAUCGUCAUCCCACGUAUUGGAGUAAAUACAACAUUGUCAUCCCACGUAUUGGAGUAAAUACGACAUUGUCAUCCCACGUAUUGGAGUAAAUACAACAUUGUCAUCCCACGUAUUGGAGUAAAUACAACAUCGUCAUCCCACGUAUUGGAGUAAAUACAACAUUGUCAUCCCACAUAUUGGAGUAAAUACAACAUCGCCAUCCCACGUAUUGGAGUAAAUACGACAUCGUCAUCCAACGUAUUGGAGUAAAUACAACAUUGUCAUCCCACGUAUUCAAGUAAAUAAGACAUCGUCAUCCAACGUAUUGGAGUAAAAACAGCAUUGUCAUCCCACGUAUUGGAGUAAAUACGACAUCGUCCUCCCACCUGUUGGAGUAAAUACAAUGUUUUCAUUCCACCUGUUAUGUGUGUAAUAAUAUACAUGUAAACUGUAGGCAUUUUAGUGGUAGUUUUCUCAAUUUGCCAAUAUUACUUGUGUAAGUAGGACUUCAGUUUUCUUGUGUUGGUCUUUGUUACACCUGGAAAUCUAGAAUCUGGUCACCACUGAUCUGGUUGUUCCACCACACAAUGUUUUACAGGACACAGUGAUUUUCUAAACACAGUGGCUCAGCCAUUUCCCCUUUAAUUAACCUGAGUAUCAUGGCUUACAAACCACUUCUGCUGGAAACAAAGGUGGCUGGAUUAUUGAUGCUCCACUGUUUAUCUUUUAGGUCAUUUUAAUUCUCAUCCAUUUUUAAAUUGAUUUCUAGAAGUGUUAGGUAACUGGUUUUACUGUUUUUCUUUUUAAUUUUUUCAUUAAAAAAAUUGUUAUGUUCUAUAAAAAAAAAACAAAAAAACCCCCAAUAAAAUGUACUUCUACUAUCAAGACUGUCAAUGUAAAAAACGUAACCAGACACAUAGAAACAAAGGAAAGUGAAGUCUGAAAUUGUGUUUUUCAAAAUAUUGGAAAUUGAUUGAGAAAUUUAUUCAUUUGAACAUUUUAGAUAGUCAUUUUUAUUAUGUACUUUGUUAGUUUUGUUUCUCUGGUAUCUUUUUAUUCUUCAGAUUUUAUUUCUAGUCUUCUUGAGGUAUUGAUUACUUCACCAUCUCUUACAUAUACACAUACUUAAGCUGGGAUACACAGAUUAUUUCCCUCUUGCUUACACUUUCUUUUAGAAGGUGUCUCCCUCUAGCUAGCCUGUUAAGACGAUAUAGGGGACCCAUACACAAUGUAGUAAUCUGUCCUGUUAUUCUGUAAUAUUCAUUGAAAUGGCACUUUAAAAAAUGUCCCCAGAUAGGAAAUAUAGAAUUUGCACAGAACAAUAUAAAUGUCACAAAGUGCAAAGGUCACACAGAAUAUAAAUGUCACACAGAAUAUCAAUGUCACACAUAAUAUAGAGAAUACACAGAACAUUGAGAAUAUACCAAAAUACAUAGGUCACACAGAAGAUAUAACAAAAUACGUAGGUCACACAGAAGAUAUAACAAAAUAUAUAGAUCCCACAGAAGGUAUAACAAAAUACAUAGGUCACACAGAAUGUAGACAUUACACAGAGAGCAUGGAGGUCACAAAAUACAUAGGUCACACAGAUGAUAUAACAAAAUACAUAGGUCACACAGAAGAUAUAACAAAAUACGUAGGUCACACAGAAGAUAUAACAAAAUACAUAGGUCACACAGAAGAUAUAACAAAAUACAUAGGUCACACAGAAUGUAGAGAUUACACAGAGAGCAUGGAGGUCACAAAAUACAUAGGUCACACAGAAGAAAUAGCAAAAUACAUAGGUCACACAGAAGAUAUAACAAAUUCAUAGGUCACACUGACACAUAAUGUAGAGAUUACACAGAGAGCAUGGAGGUCACAAAGUACAAAGGUCACUCAGAAUAUAAAGGUCACAUAAUAUAGAAAUCACACAGAACAUAAAGGUCACACAUAAUACAUAGGUCACACAAUAUAUAGAUCAUACAGAAUACAAAGGUAACACAAAAUAAAAAGAUCACACAGCAUAUAGAGGUCACAUGAACAUAAAAGUCAUACAGAAUACAGAGGUCACACAGAAUAUAAAGAUCACACAGAAUACAAAGGUAACACAUCAUAUACAGAUCAUACAGCAUAUAGAGGUCACAUAGAACAUAAAAGUCAUACAGAAUAUAGAGGUCACACAGAAUAUAGCAGUGACAGCGAAUAUAGAGCACACAGAACAUAGAGGUCUCCCAUAAUACAGAGGUCACAUAGAACAUAGAGGUCAUGCAUAAUACAGAGGUCACAUAGAACAUAGAGGUCAUGCAUAAUACAGAGGUCACAUAUAACAUAAAUGUCAUGCAUAACAUAGAGGUCACAUAGAACAUAGAGGUCACACAGAACAUAAAGGUCACCUAGAACAUAAAGGUCACAUAGAACAUAGAGGUUACACAGAACAUAGAGGUUACACAGAAUAUAGAGGUUAAACAGAACAUAGAGGUCAUGCAUAAUACAAAGGUCACAUAGAACAUAGAGGUUAAAUAGAACAAAGAGGUCACAUAGAACAUAAAGGUCACAUAGAACAUAGAGGUUACACAGAACAUAGACGUUACACAGAAUAAAGAGGUCACACAGAACAUAGACGUUACACAGAACAUAGAGGUUACACAGAGCGUAGAGUUUACACAGAACAUAGAGGUUACACAUAACAUAGACGUUACAAAGAAUAAAGAGGUCACACAGAGCGUAGAGGUUACACAGAACAUAGAGGUUACACAGAACAUAGAGGUUAAACCAAACAUAGAGGUCACACAGAAUAAAGAGGUUGCACAGAACAUAGAGGUCACAGAUUAUAGAGGUCACAAAGAAAAUAGAGGUCACACAGAAUAUAGAGGUCAAACAAUACAGCAGUGACACAAAAAAAGAGCACAUGGAACAUAGAGAUCACACAAUACAGAGGUCACACAGAACAUAGAGGUCACAGAUUAUAGGUCUCACAAAAUGUAGGGGUCACUCAGAAUACUGAGGCCACACAGAACAAAAAGGUCACACAGUACAGAGGUCACAAAUGAUAUGACAAAUAUAUUAAUGAAGCUAACGGUCUCUAUCUUUGUGCCAGAUCUAUUUAGUUACAAUCAAUUCUAUAUCCUAACUUUGGUAUUUAGUAGUCAUUAUACAUUUAUUGUAGUUAUACUUUUUAUUUGAAAUGUUAUACCAGUUGUCAUAAAAAGAAUUACAAUUUGUUUUUAAUUCUUGAUGCAUAAUUUAACCAAGAAUAAGUUCCUGUGCCAAUGUUAGCUAAUUAUAUUUUACCACUGGUAGGCCUAGGUCUGUACUCUGGUACGUACUAGAUACCGGUAGCUACCCACAUUUCACAAGACUGAGGUUUUGUUUUCUGUGUUAGGUGACUGUCUGAAUAUAUUUGAACAAAUCUGUAUAGAUAUUGACAAAGAAGUGUUAUAUUAAUAAUGUUGUUCAAUUUUAUUAGCUCACCUGGCACGAAGUGCCAAGUAAGCUUAUGCUGACCCGCGGCGUCCGUCGUCUGUUCGU
This is a long non-coding RNA of Mizuhopecten yessoensis (Yesso scallop), 3968 nucleotides long. RefSeq lists it as uncharacterized. The record is from RefSeq and is a predicted model, not a curated record. The transcript has 3 exons. NCBI's taxonomy places the organism in Eukaryota, Metazoa, Mollusca, Bivalvia, Pectinida, Pectinidae.